GGGAGGGUGGUCUAGCUUGGUAUGAUACAUAAUUUGUCAUUCAGCCAAAUUAACCGAAUCGGCUGGGGAAGUCCAAGCAUUCGCUUGGAUUACAGAGGCCGAGUGGCCGGGGGUUCGAAUCCCCCCUCUCCCA
RNAcentral lists this transfer RNA (133 nucleotides) under Promethearchaeota archaeon. RNAcentral's name for it is "Candidatus Lokiarchaeota archaeon tRNA-OTHER". It matches the Rfam family "tRNA". Rfam says of the family: Transfer RNA (tRNA) molecules are approximately 80 nucleotides in length. Their secondary structure includes four short double-helical elements and three loops (D, anti-codon, and T loops). Further hydrogen bonds mediate the characteristic L-shaped molecular structure. tRNAs have two regions of fundamental functional importance: the anti-codon, which is responsible for specific mRNA codon recognition, and the 3' end, to which the tRNAs corresponding amino acid is attached (by aminoacyl-tRNA synthetases). tRNAs cope with the degeneracy of the genetic code in two manners: having more than one tRNA (with a specific anti-codon) for a particular amino acid; and 'wobble' base-pairing, i.e. permitting non-standard base-pairing at the 3rd anti-codon position. The record is from RNAcentral. Lineage: Archaea; Promethearchaeati; Promethearchaeota.